This 447-nucleotide ribosomal RNA is filed under the name uncultured soil bacterium. RNAcentral describes it as "bacterial SSU rRNA". It matches the Rfam family "Bacterial small subunit ribosomal RNA", at positions 26 to 473 of the family's 1533-position model. The record is from RNAcentral.
AGGAUGAACGCUGGCGACGUGCUUAACACAUGCAAGUCGAACGAUGAAGCAGAGCUUGCUCUGUGGAUUAGUGGCGAACGGGUGAGUAACACGUGAGUAACCUGCCCUUGACUCUGGAAUAAGCGUUGGAAACGACGUCUAAUACCGGAUACGAGCUUCCGCCGCAUGGUGAGGAGCUGGAAAGAAUUUCGGUCAAGGAUGGACUCGCGGCCUAUCAGGUAGUUGGUGAGGUAAUGGCUCACCAAGCCUACGACGGGUAGCCGGCCUGAGAGGGUGACCGGCACACUGGAACUGAGACACGGUCCAGACUCCUACGGGAGGCAGCAGUGGGAAUAUUGCACAAUGGGCGCGAAGCCUGAUGCAGCAACGCCGCGUGGAGGACGACGGCCGUUCGGUAGUAAACCUUCGUUUUAGUAGGAAGGAAGGCUUCGGUCUAGGACGGUUACC